RNAcentral lists this ribosomal RNA (730 nucleotides) under Cladosporium ramotenellum. RNAcentral describes it as "eukaryotic LSU rRNA". It matches the Rfam family "Eukaryotic large subunit ribosomal RNA", at positions 111 to 867 of the family's 3401-position model. RNAcentral also lists the same sequence under 1 other name. The record is from RNAcentral. Lineage: Eukaryota; Fungi; Ascomycota; Dothideomycetes; Cladosporiales; Cladosporiaceae.
AAAUUUGAAAUCUGGCGUCUUCGACGUCCGAGUUGUAAUUUGUAGAGGAUGCUUCUGAGUGGCCACCGACCUAAGUUCCUUGGAACAGGACGUCAUAGAGGGUGAGAAUCCCGUAUGCGGUCGGAAAGGCGCUCUAUACGUAGCUCCUUCGACGAGUCGAGUUGUUUGGGAAUGCAGCUCUAAAUGGGAGGUAAAUUUCUUCUAAAGCUAAAUAUUGGCCAGAGACCGAUAGCGCACAAGUAGAGUGAUCGAAAGAUGAAAAGCACUUUGGAAAGAGAGUUAAAAAGCACGUGAAAUUGUUAAAAGGGAAGGGAUUGCAACCAGACUUGCUCGCGGUGUUCCGCCGGUCUUCUGACCGGUCUACUCGCCGCGUUGCAGGCCAGCAUCGUCUGGUGCCGCUGGAUAAGACUUGAGGAAUGUAGCUCCCUCGGGAGUGUUAUAGCCUCUUGUGAUGCAGCGAGCGCCGGGCGAGGUCCGCGCUUCGGCUAGGAUGCUGGCGUAAUGGUCGUAAUCCGCCCGUCUUGAAACACGGACCAAGGAGUCUAACAUCUAUGCGAGUGUUCGGGUGUCAAACCCCUACGCGUAAUGAAAGUGAACGGAGGUGAGAACCGCAAGGUGCAUCAUCGACCGAUCCUGAUGUCUUCGGAUGGAUUUGAGUAAGAGCAUAGCUGUUGGGACCCGAAAGAUGGUGAACUAUGCCUGAAUAGGGUGAAGCCAGAGGAAACUCUGG